RNAcentral lists this ribosomal RNA (586 nucleotides) under uncultured bacterium. RNAcentral describes it as "bacterial SSU rRNA". It matches the Rfam family "Bacterial small subunit ribosomal RNA", at positions 95 to 691 of the family's 1533-position model. The record is from RNAcentral.
GUGGCAGACGGGUGAGUAACGCGUGGGAACGUGCCUUUCGGUUCGGAAUAAUCCAGGGAAACUUGGACUAAUACCGGAUACGCCCUUCGGGGGAAAGAUUUAUCGCCGAAAGAUCGGCCCGCGUCUGAUUAGCUAGUUGGUAAGGUAACGGCUUACCAAGGCAACGAUGCGUAGCCGACCUGAGAGGGUGAUCGGCCACACUGGAACUGAGACACGGUCCAGACUCCUACGGGAGGCAGCAGUAGGGAAUCUUCCGCAAUGGGCGAAAGCUUGACGGAGCAACGCCGCGUGAGUGAUGAAGGUCUUCGGAUCGUAAAACUCUGUAAUUAGGGAAGAACAAAUGUGUAAGUAACUAUGCACGUCUUGACGGUACCUAGUCAGAAAGCCACGGCUAACUACGUGCCAGCAGCCGCGGUAAUACGUAGGUGGCAAGCGUUAUCCGGAAUUAUUGGGCGUAAAGCGCGCGUAGGCGGUUUUUUAAGUCUGAUGUGAAAGCCCACGGCUCAACCGUGGAGGGUCAUUGGAAACUGGAAAACUUGAGUGCAGAAGAGGAAAGUGGAAUUCCAUGUGUAGCGGUGAAAUGCGC